This 71-nucleotide transfer RNA is filed under the name Bretschneidera sinensis. Its description in RNAcentral is "tRNA-Gly". It matches the Rfam family "tRNA". From Rfam's summary of the family: Transfer RNA (tRNA) molecules are approximately 80 nucleotides in length. The record is from RNAcentral. Lineage: Eukaryota; Viridiplantae; Streptophyta; Magnoliopsida; Brassicales; Akaniaceae. RNAcentral also lists the same sequence under 1 other name.
GCGGGUAUAGUUUAGUGGUAAAACCCUAGCCUUCCAAGCUAACGAGGCGGGUUCGAUUCCCGCUACCCGCU